Long non-coding RNA from Myxocyprinus asiaticus (Chinese sucker), 6354 nucleotides. RefSeq lists it as uncharacterized. Lineage: Eukaryota; Metazoa; Chordata; Actinopteri; Cypriniformes; Catostomidae. The record is from RefSeq and is a predicted model, not a curated record. The transcript has 2 exons.
GGGCUUAAUAAAUAAACUAAAUAAUGUCUGAAAAAUCUAAAAAAAGUUUUCUGUGAGGGUUAGGUUUAGGGUUGAGUAUGGUGAUAGAAAAUAACAGCUCAAUCUAAAAACAAUUAAAGUCAGUAAAAAGGGAAGUCUCCACCAUGAAAGAAAAAGACAGGGAGAAAGUAAUCAGGCAGCGCAUUGUCAGAUGUCACAUGAAAAUCCAGCUCAAAGAAGUAACACUAUCAAAGUUCUGCUGAGCAACGCAAGCACAGCCACUUCUACCCAAAAAUUAAAGAUCAGCGAUUUGUUAGUGUACCAUUUAUGCCUUUCAACUCUAAACUUGUGUUUUAUUCAUAGAUUUUCUCAUUAUCCUGAUAAUACAGAACUGAUAAACAGAAGUUUGACUACAGGAAAAAUUAUCUUGGAAUUAACUUGUGUUGUCAGAUAUUCAGGUUAAUUGAAUAUGUCAACAAAAUGUUUAGUUAUAUCUGCUGUAUACAUUGGCCCGGCCGUUGUUUAAAGAAAGUUUCCCACUAUGUCAUCCUGUUUUCCAUAUUAUGUGAUUUAGAAAAGCAAGUUAAAUACACAUAUUAAACAAAUCGAUUGUGCUUCAUCGAGGAAACUAAAGUACAUGUGAUGGAUGAAAAAGUGUUGGGGAAGGAAUAUUGAAGAUAUGACUGAGAUUGUCAUAGAUACACAUGAUACUCCACAAUAAUUUCUUACUGACACUAUCCAUUUGUGUAUUUGUGCGAGCAUGCCUUUGGCACAACCUGGGUGAUGUUGUCAGUUUGUAAUUAUCAGUGAGGAUAGUUUAUGAUAGUUGUGUCAGAUGAAUACAAUGCAGAUGUAACAGACACUCUUCAGAAAACACAACAGAGAAUAAGUCUGUAACAGUUACAGUGGUAGGAAAGAGGAAGGACUGGCUAUUAGAGAGUGUAUUUAGCUAUAGUUUGGGGACAAAAUCAUCCCUGAACGUGAGCUGCGGCUGGAGCAAAGAAGACCUGAAGACCGGCAGGCUUUUUGGAGCUUGAUCACACGAGGGGGCUGCGACUGUGUCUGCGACCCCGGAGCCCACACCGAAUAUCUCACUGGUUACUCUGGUUAAAAUGGGCCCUGCUGAAGAUCUAGAGGACUACCUUGAUCUGUUUGAGAAGACAGCUGAGGUGUGGAAAUGGCCGCUUGACCAGUGGGUGGCCCGCUACUGCCAUUGCUGUCCGGGGAAGCACAAGUUGCGGUCCAACAACUCCCCGCCAAUAACCUAAAGAGAGUCAUAAUGCAACAGGUCGGUCAUAGUCCAGAACAGAGUCACCAAUGCUUCUGUUCCCUGAGACUGGGAAGGCACGGCCGGCCGUUCGCCUUUGCGCAGCACCUCCGAGACGCCUGCAGGAAAUGGUUGCUGGCUGAGGGGACCCGUGGCGCCCAGGACAUCAUAGAUCUGAUGACACUGGAGAAGGGGGGGGCAGGCUGGAUGUUGCCGCCUGAGUCAGGCAGUGGGGGUAUGUGGUGAUGGGGGCAUGGUCAUGUGUCUGUUUGCGGGAGAGAGGGAGUGGUAUGGCUCGUCAAGCUGGUUUACAUGAUUUCUAACAGAUGUUUCUUGUUACAGUGAUAGUGGGGAGAGAACUCAAAAGCAGCCAAAACACGCCAGAGAGCUGAGAGAGAACGACACAAGAGUGCAGCUACUGGUGUGCCUUAUUGUGUGUUUUAUUGUUUUAUUGUGAAGCUUAAGAUUUCGAGAAGUUUGUUAACUGAGAGUUUUUGUUACAUUGAACUGACUGAAACAAGAAAAGCACUGAGAAGGUUGCAUUCAGAUAUACUGAAGGCAGAAAAUAAAAGCCUACCUGAAGCGUGCCACUGCUUCCCUGUCUCCUCCUUCCAUACCUGAAACUUUAACGUUUGUUACACAGAGCAAAUACUGUUUUGUAAAAUAUCUAAAGAUGCAAAGAGUUUUUUAAGGUUCCCAUGUAGAUGGCCAAGUAAAUGUGUGCACUCAAUGGUUCAUGAGGCUUUAUGUGCUUAUUGAACCAUGAGACCGUAUUGACUGCCACACUGCACUCUGUAGCCAUUGCCCCAUUAAUUUAAUUAGUGGAGUUGACCACUAUCUAGUCUGGGAUAUUUAAAAUCUAAUGAAAAUUCAGUUCUAAUGAGAUUUUAAGAUUUAAUUAAUGUUAAUAAAUGCAAUCAAAUUACUUUUCUCCCAUGUGCAUUCCUUAAUAAAUACCUAGUCAUUGUAAAGGCCCCAACAUUCUUACAGAGAAGUUCUUCUUCAUUCUUUGUUCAGAUGUAAGUUCGAAAACAGCUGAGCUUAAGACACCCACCACCAGAAAUACAUUUAAAUAUGAGGACGCUCAAAACUAUCAACUAAUAUGACAUCAAAAUGUGUUAUCAAUGACUUCAUGCCUCAUUCUAUGAGUAGAAUUCACACGAGAUCAGUACAAGCUGUUUUAACUACUCAAUGAUGAUUUCAAUUAAUAUAUAUAUAUAUACAGUAUAUGCAGUGGAUAAUGUAUAAUUUGUAAUGUUUACAUUGUGCAUUCAUGACGCUAAUGCACGUUAAACAUGGCCAUAAAAUGCAUUGAUUACACUCUGUUAUUGUAAUUUAUGAUAAAACUGAUCAUGUGUGUGUGUUCAUGUUGACUGAUCUUGAUUGACUGAACAACCUAAACAGAAUUAGCUGUCGGCCUCAAAUUAGGUGGAGCUCCAGGUCACACCUACCGAUGAGGCAGUAAGAAGGUAUUUAGCAGCCGGUAAGAAGUUUUCCUGAAAGUUGGUCCGGCAAGCUGUUACAAAAACCCCUUCACUUUGGCCAGAUUUUAUUCUAACUGAUGUUACACCCGUUCGUUUGCAGGGGCCUUUACUUUGAAAAAACAAAAACAAAACAAACAACAGUAAUAUUUUAACAACUACUUAAUUACCUUCAUUUUUCAUCAUCUUUGGGGAUCAUCUCAUGUCUUAACCCAUUAUUGUGGAGAUUCCAACCUGGUCUCAUAAAAUCACAUGACAAUACAUACAUUUUUGCAAAAUGAUUUUUACUUGGCUCAUUGUACAUAUCAUAGCAGUUUCCUGGUGAAAAGAACACUAGAGGCACUACAAUGACUUUUUUUCCCUUUCACACAAAUCAAGAGUAAAAGGGCAGAUUAUCAGUUCAUAAAAACAUACUUUUCGUCCUGUUCCACACACAAUGCCAUCUUGUGACAUCUAAAUACUUUUACUAUAGUGCAUGACUUUUUUAAUUUUGUUUGUUUGUUUGGCUAAAUCAUGGCCUGUUGUUUGGUCAAUGCCAGCUUACUGGUAGCAAACUUGAUGUUUCUGAUGUUGAGAAUCUUGAUGUUGGCUGUUCAUCCCCAAGUAUUUUAAACCUUUGUUUAUGUUUGCCUCUCGAAGCUGUUACAGCAUUGUAAAUCACCUGCUCUCUCUCUCUCUCUCUCUCUCUCUCUCUCUCUCUCUCUCUCUCUCUCUCUCUUUUUUCUUUUUUCUUUUUUGCUUAUCAACUGUAUCUGUCGUGUAACUGCAUUGCCGGCUUCGGCAUGGUCUGACCAGCCACCUUGCUGUUCUGGAGCUGGGUGCUUGAGACAGGGAGACAGGCUUCAUCUCUGUAUCUGGUGGUGGUUUGUUUCACUGCAUGCUGUGCUCUUUGCCAUUUUUUUGGUACUCAAGUUUGUAUGCGUGUGAGCACGUGAGAUUUGUGGUGUUUUCCAGGACAGAUAGUGUCUCCUAUUAGCCACUCCCUGCUGGUAAGCCACAGCUCUCUUUAGUUUUGUGGGUUUCAACUGAAUGUGUUUUACUGCAGAUUUGAAAAGCCCAGUCUCACACCCCUCUCCCACUCUGAUCUUCAAACAACAAGUGAGUUACUGUACAACCCUUACUGUACAUCCCAAGAAACCUCAGAAAAACAGCUGAUUUAAAAACAGACUUCAGACGCUUUCAUUGUGUCUAACUCCCGCAAGCGAGUUCCAAUUAGAAGUGAUCGUCCCUAUGCCCUAUUCCCCUCAAAUACAAUUACCUUUCAGCCACACUUAAAAAUCCAUACAUUUCAUUACAUACAGUAGAUAAAAAAAUAUCAAACCAAGUAGAAUUUACAAACAAAUUAUGGUAGACAUUUUCUCAGAGUUAACUUCAAUUUUUCUGAGCCAUUUUAGGUGUCAGAGUAACCACAGGUAGAGUACAUCACAUUAUCCAUGGACAUGUUCCACUAAGAUUGACAACCAGAAAGUUUACAAAUGUAUUGCUCUUCAUUUUGAACAGUACAUUUUUAUUGUUAUUAUUUUUUAACCUAACAAAAGUAAAUGUCAUGUGGUUUGAUAUUUUAUUAUCUAAUGCAAUGACAUUUAUUAUUUUUUAUAAAUUAAGAUCCAUAUACUAAGGGGCCACUGUAUGCACCAUCUAUAAAUAUUACACUUUUUCCACUGUGUAAAAGAACCAGUCACAUAUUUAAAAAAAAACAAAAAACAAAAAAAACAAAUCACUAUUCAGAGUGAUAACUUGGCCUUUAGCUAUUUCUUUUAUCCAAAAUGACUUCAGGUACAGCUAUUACAAUGCUCCCCUGGAGCAACCCAUAGUUAAAAGCAUGGCUUCACAAUGGUGAAACUUUCUGUAUUUUCCUUGCAGGGUUUGAUCCUACAUUUCCUUUACCUGCCAGGCUUUUAAAAACUAGACUGCACUACCCAAAGUGAAAUAGUAAGAAGUUGUUACAUUAAAUAUCAUCCUGUCUAAUAAAUGUAUGGAUGCAAACUACCCUAAUUGAUAUCCUUUGGACAUGCUUCUGAAAAAAAGAAGAAAAAAAAAAUGGCAGUGAUUUAAAAGUGCCAAGAUAUGGAGUGAAGAUACGGUAUGAUCAUUUUCAAAGUGGAAAAUAGGGUUGUGCUCAAGGAAUUUGGUAAAACAUGAGCCUAGCCAUCUGCAUUUCUUGUACAACUUUUUUUUUUAAAGGCAUGGAGAUAAGAACAAAAUUCUUGACCUUUUUCAGUUUGAGCUCCAGUAAAAUGUAUAGAUAUACAUCCUGACAAUGACUAUUUGCAUAUGUAACAGUUCAACAUUGUUUUUUGAAAGAAGUGUAUCAUAUUUCAGUAUUUCAGUUUUUACUAUAGUAGUUAUAUACAGUAUAAAGUGGGUUAUAUACUGUUUGUUGUGUAUUUGUACUGUCAAUUAUUUUUUCAAUCCAGAACUUGAUUAUCUAAGAUCACAGAUCUUGCCACACACCUACACUCGAGUACUUCACCUUUGAACCACCAACCUCCUACACUCUGUCUACACUGAAUGUGAGUGGCGUAGAGACAUGUGCACAUGAGUUAAGUAGUCCCUAAAUGCUUGACUAUGUCCAUUCCUCCAAAUAUAAUAAAAUGCAGUAAAAAUACAAAAUUGGUAAUUUUUUUAUGUAAACAUUAGGUGCAACAUUCCAGCAUGGUCAGUUUAGAAAGAAAUGAUUAAAGAACAAUUUAAGAGAUUUAAUUAUUUCUUUACAAACAAACAAAAUAGAAAUAAAUUAAUUAAAAAUUAAAAGGCAAUGAAAGAAUGUAAAAUUUAGGCUACAUUCUUUCAUUGUACCGGGUUUCCACAAUUCUCAAGUGCGGUGCCUAAUCGCACAAAUGCUAACUGAAAUGCAAACAUGUCAUGCCUUUGAUUAAAACGUUUUUCAUAUGAAUAUUUUCAUGCUUGGUACCUAAGUCCUCAUUAUGGGUUUUGCAUUAGCAUUUCAUCUUUGCGAUUGUGGCUUUUUUUAAAAUUUUAUUUUAAAUACAAAAUGGAAGAAAAAAAAAUAUAUGUGCACACACACAUAAACAAACACACAAACACAAACAAAAGUGAAAUGUUUUGCAUGAUCGCCUCCAGAGCCUGCAGUGACUCCAAAUUCUUUUAGGUUGAGUAUAUUCUGCUUGACCUUGUAGUGAAUGAAGCACACACACUCGCAGAUACUUUUCAGAGGCCAUAGUGUUAAUAUGAGAGUACGCUUGUCCGUGAACUCUUCAGCUCUCUUACUGUCUCCAUAGCAACGUGACUACAGAGGAUAUACUUGAUUCUUCAUAAAUGCAAUUCCAGGAUAUGCAAUAAAUAUCACACUCACUCACAAGCACAAACCUACAUAUGCACAUACCUGUACACGUGUUUGCAUGCCUCUACUCAUAUACUGUAUGUAUUGGUCUUAGCGCUUUUCUUAGAUUAACUCACAAGAGAAUGAAGAUGUGCUUUAAUUGUUAGUACAGAAAUUGCAGCCCUGAUUAUUUUAUGUAUUCUUAAUUGUAUGCUUUUGUACUUGAGUGUUUAAGUAUAUAUGGAAUGUACAGUAUGUGUUGUGUGAGUAUAUCAGCUUCUUAAUUCUUUUGAGGUUCUUUGUCUGCACUGCACUUUGAUUAAACGAUGAAAAAUGUGCCAUAA